Long non-coding RNA from Salvia hispanica, 1354 nucleotides. RefSeq lists it as uncharacterized. Lineage: Eukaryota; Viridiplantae; Streptophyta; Magnoliopsida; Lamiales; Lamiaceae. The record is from RefSeq and is a predicted model, not a curated record.
UGGUUGGGACAUGCGGCCAUAAAUGUAAUUUCGAUGCAGCGUUUUGCUUCAAUCGAUGAAUCAACUGCAGCCAUGGACGCUCAGCUUCAGAGCAAAGGCAAAGCGAUUCAAUUUCAUUUUCGAUUUCAAUUAUUCCAAAAUCUUGCCUAUUUGCAAACUCAGGUUCAAGCUCCGCCGCUAUACAUUCGAGUUCGAAUCUAAACCCCAAUCACGAAAAUUUCCAGACCUCAAAUUCCUGCGGAUGUUCAACGGUUUUCGCCGCAAGCGAUCCCGAUCCAAGAUCUGGCUAGAUCGAGAGAAUUAUUGGUUUGGGAGAAGAAAAUUUGGAGUUCGGUUUCGGUUUCUGCUUUUCGCGGCGGUGAGCUGUUUCCUGAUUUUGCUGCUGCGAUCUCAUAUCCGUACAAGAUUUUUGUGGAAUUUUGUUUGGGUGAUUUGGAAUUAUGCUGUUUUCUUGCACCAAUUUUUCAAGGUUAUUUUUCAAGAGUUUUCUGGAUAGUGGGAAGAUUUUAUGAUAUGUAUCAUGUACUUGAAUGAGAAAAUAUUUAUUUAAAAAGAAAAUAUCAUUGAUAUAGUAGAAUAUUUCGGGACUACUAUGGAUUUGCUCAAUUCAUUUUCCACCUUUGUUUAUUUACAUUCUGCCUAAUCUUUUUGUUUUAAGUCUAAUAAAUUUAUCCCCUUUUCAUACUUUUCUUCAUCCUACUCUCAUGAUUGAUUGUGUUUUGUAGUACUUGUUCUGGGACAAAUUUGAUGCCUGUUUUUGUAGUGAAUUCUAGUUGAAUCUUUCAUAACCAUGUAACAUGAUACACCCCAUUUUAAUACUCCCACACUUCACCACUGAACCAUGGUGCAAGAGGUCAGUCCUAGCAAGAGGUGUUCCCCACAACUCCCUGCCUGUGGUAGAAUGAGAAAGAAUAGACAUGGUGCAAGUAGAAGUAUCUCACAUCUUUUUAUUUACACUUACACACCAUCCCCAAUCAAGCACAAAUAAAGCAAGGAGUAAGAGAUAUAGCAAUUGGAGUUUCAUCCUGCCACCUGAAUUUCCAUCCCUCACACCAGUGUACCACGAGCUAUAUUAUAAGUGAUGGAGACUCCCAUUUACGAAAUAGGUGGCUAGAGGCAGCCUUAGCAAGUGAAGCAUGAAGUGAAGCAUCAGGUAACUACUCCUUAUCACCCACAAGCUAAUGGUCAAACUGAGUUGUUCAAUAGGGAUAUCUACUAAUCUGGCGGGUGAUGAGGCGGCCGCGAGGCCAUGAAACUGGCUAGUAAAGGAUUAUGAAUUGCAAUUAUGUUCAAGAAUAAGAUAAGGCUAACGUCCUCUCCUAUUACUACUAUAUCCACUAAGAAGAUUCAAGGA